CUGGCUCAGGAUGAACGCUAGCGGCAGGCCUAACACAUGCAAGUCGAGGGGUAACGAUUCCAAGCAAUUGGAAGGCGACGACCGGCGCACGGGUGAGUAUCGCGUUUGUAACCUUCCUCUGACUGGAGCAUAGCCCGAAGAAAUUCGGAUUAAUACUCCAUAAUACUAUAGUCUGGCAUCAUUUUAUAGUUAAAGCUUUGGCGGUCAGAGAUGGGCAUGCGUGACAUUAGCUAGUUGGUGAGGUAACGGCUCACCAAGGCUGCGAUGUCUAGGGGGUCUGAGAGGAUGGUCCCCCACACUGGUACUGAGACACGGACCAGACUCCUACGGGAGGCAGCAGUGAGGAAUAUUGGUCAAUGGGCGCAAGCCUGAACCAGCCAUGCCGCGUGAAGGAUGACAGCCCUACGGGUUGUAAACUUCUUUUGUAAGGGAAGAAACCUGGCUACGUGUGGUCAGUUGACGGUACCUUACGAAUAAGCAUCGGCUAACUCCGUGCCAGCAGCCGCGGUAAUACGGAGGAUGCAAGCGUUAUCCGGAUUUAUUGGGUUUAAAGGGUGCGCAGGCGGAAAAUUAAGUCAGUGGUGAAAUCCUACAGCUUAACUGUAGAGCUGUCAUUGAUACUGAUUUUCUUGAAUUCAGUUGAGGUAGGCGGAAUGUGUAAUGUAGCGGUGAAAUGCUUAGAUAUUACACAGAACACCGAUUGCGAAGGCAGCUUACUAAACUGAUAUUGGCGCUGAGGCACGAAAGCGUGGGGAGCGAACAGGAUUAGAUACCCUGGUAGUCCACGCUGUAAACGAUGAUCACUCGUUGUUGGCAAUACAUCGUCAGCGACUGAGCGAAAGCAUUAAGUGAUCCACCUGGGGAGUACGUUCGCAAGAAUGAAACUCAAAGGAAUUGACGGGGGCCCGCACAAGCGGAGGAACAUGUGGUUUAAUUCGAUGAUACGCGAGGAACCUUACCUGGGCUUAAAUGCAAAACGACGUCCCGAGAAAUCGGGAUUUCUUCGGACGGCUUGCAAGGUGCUGCAUGGCUGUCGUCAGCUCGUGCCGUGAGGUGUCGGGUUAAGUCCCAUAACGAGCGCAACCCUCAUCAUUAGUUGCCAGCGGGUAAUGCCGGGGACUCUAAUGAAACUGCCGGUGUAAACCGAGAGGAAGGUGGGGAUGACGUCAAGUCAGCA
This 1177-nucleotide ribosomal RNA is filed under the name uncultured organism. Its description in RNAcentral is "bacterial SSU rRNA". It matches the Rfam family "Bacterial small subunit ribosomal RNA", at positions 19 to 1195 of the family's 1533-position model. The record is from RNAcentral.